RNAcentral lists this ribosomal RNA (375 nucleotides) under uncultured bacterium. Its description in RNAcentral is "bacterial SSU rRNA". It matches the Rfam family "Bacterial small subunit ribosomal RNA", at positions 521 to 896 of the family's 1533-position model. The record is from RNAcentral.
UAAUACAGAGGGUGCGAGCGUUAAUCGGAAUUACUGGGUGUAAAGGGCGCGUAGGCGGCAAGAUGUGUGUGAUGUGAAAGCCCCGGGCUUAACCUGGGAAGUGCAUUGCAAACUGUCUGGCUAGAGUAUAUGAGAGGGUGGCGGAAUUUCCGGUGUAGCGGUGAAAUGCGUAGAGAUCGGAAGGAACGUCAAUGGCGAAGGCAGCCACCUGGCAUAAUACUGACGCUGAGGCGCGAAAGCGUGGGGAGCGAACAGGAUUAGAUACCCUGGUAGUCCACGCUGUAAACUAUGAGGACUAGAUGUUGGCAGGGGAACCUGUCAGUAUCGAAGCUAACGCGAUAAGUCUUCCACCUGGGAAGUACGGCCGCAAGGUUG